RNAcentral lists this ribosomal RNA (468 nucleotides) under uncultured bacterium. Its description in RNAcentral is "partial 16S ribosomal RNA". It matches the Rfam family "Bacterial small subunit ribosomal RNA", at positions 28 to 507 of the family's 1533-position model. The record is from RNAcentral.
GACGAACGCUGGCGGCGUGCUUAACACAUGCAAGUCGAACGGAAAGGCCCUGCUUUUGUGGGGUGCUCGAGUGGCGAACGGGUGAGUAACACGUGAGUAACCUGCCCUUGACUUUGGGAUAACUUCAGGAAACUGGGGCUAAUACCGGAUAGGAGCUCCUGCUGCAUGGUGGGGGUGGGAAAGUUUCGGCGGUUGGGGAUGGACUCGCGGCUUAUCAGCUUGUUGGUGGGGUAGUGGCUUACCAAGGCUUUGACGGGUAGCCGGCCUGGGAGGGUGACCGGCCACAUUGGGACUGAGAUACGGCCCAGACUCCUACGGGAGGCAGCGGUGGGGGAUAUUGUACAAUGGGCGGAAGCCUGAUGCAGCAACGCCGCGUGCGGGAUGACGGCCUUCGGGUUGUAAACCGCUUUCGCCUGUGACGAAGCGUGAGUGACGGUAAUGGGUAAAGAAGCACCGGCUAACUACGUG